Lagopus muta (rock ptarmigan) is the source of this 563-nucleotide long non-coding RNA. RefSeq lists it as uncharacterized. Lineage: Eukaryota; Metazoa; Chordata; Aves; Galliformes; Phasianidae. The transcript is spliced from 6 exons. The record is from RefSeq and is a predicted model, not a curated record.
AGAUUUCUUCUCUGUGGUGUGUUUCCUAUGAACCUAGAUCUUUGGCUAUAGAAAAAUGUUUUGGAAAAAGAAAAAUGCUGAAUAACAUACUGUAGUGAUCCUUUUUUCUCCUAACAAGGUGAAUGGAGACAGCAGUAAAGGUCUUGCAUUGUAUACUGAAGCAGGCUUUCUCCAAUGGGCGUGAUCUCUCUCAGUAUCCCAAAUAUCAUUUCACUGUUUUCUUCUGAAGUGUGUAGUAGGCUUAUAUCUUCUGGAACAUUAUUCUGCCUAAAGAGUAAAUUUUCAAAAUUCAUGUAUACCAGAUACAGUAUAGAAGCAAAAGGCCACAAGUUUCUGAUUUUGGGAGUAUUCUGAAAUCUCUCUUCAGUCUGUCAAUGUUUGUUUUGAUGUGUGGACUUCAGAAUGAGACAACAGGAAUGCUGUAUGUACAGAAGCAAGCCUGAAAAAAAUGAAAUAGGAAAUUGCAUUUCCUUCACCACAAGAUUUAAGAAGUUGGUAAGAUUCACUAAUGGAAAAAGUGAAAAUUACUUUAACUUUUUUAGCUUUAAAUAAAGCUGUUUCUC